Molecule: ribosomal RNA, 1121 nt
Filed under: Clostridium sporogenes
Lineage: Bacteria; Bacillati; Bacillota; Clostridia; Eubacteriales; Clostridiaceae
Description: bacterial SSU rRNA
Rfam family: Bacterial small subunit ribosomal RNA
Source: RNAcentral
GUUUGAUCAUGGCUCAGGACGAACGCUGGCGGCGUGCUUAACACAUGCAAGUCGAGCGAUGAAGCUUCCUUCGGGAAGUGGAUUAGCGGCGGACGGGUGAGUAACACGUGGGUAACCUGCCUCAAAGUGGGGGAUAGCCUUCCGAAAGGAAGAUUAAUACCGCAUAACAUAAGAGAAUUGCAUGAUUUUCUUAUCAAAGAUUUAUUGCUUUGAGAUGGACCCGCGGCGCAUUAGCUAGUUGGUAAGGUAACGGCUUACCAAGGCAACGAUGCGUAGCCGACCUGAGAGGGUGAUCGGCCACAUUGGAAGUGAGACACGGUCCAGACUCCUACGGGAGGCAGCAGUGGGGAAUAUUGCGCAAUGGGGGAAACCCUGACGCAGCAACGCCGCGUGGGUGAUGAAGGUCUUCGGAUUGUAAAGCCCUGUUUUCUGGGACGAUAAUGACGGUACCAGAGGAGGAAGCCACGGCUAACUACGUGCCAGCAGCCGCGGUAAUACGUAGGUGGCGAGCGUUGUCCGGAUUUACUGGGCGUAAAGGGUGCGUAGGCGGAUGUUUAAGUGGGAUGUGAAAUCCCCGGGCUUAACCUGGGGGCUGCAUUCCAAACUGGAUAUCUAGAGUGCAGGAGAGGAAAGCGGAAUUCCUAGUGUAGCGGUGAAAUGCGUACAGAUUAGGAAGAACACCAUUGGCGAAGGCGGCUUUCUGGACUGUAACUGACGCUGAGGCACGAAAGCGUGGGUAGCAAACAGGAUUAGAUACCCUGGUAGUCCACGCCGUAAACGAUGGAUACUAGGUGUAGGGGGUAUCAACUCCCCCUGUGCCGCAGUUAACACAAUAAGUAUCCCGCCUGGGGAGUACGGUCGCAAGAUUAAAACUCAAAGGAAUUGACGGGGGCCCGCACAAGCAGCGGAGCAUGUGGUUUAAUUCGAAGCAACGCGAAGAACCUUACCUGGACUUGACAUCCCUUGCAUAGCCUAGAGAUAGGUGAAGCCCUUCGGGGCAAGGAGACAGGUGGUGCAUGGUUGUCGUCAGCUCGUGUCGUGAGAUGUUAGGUUAAGUCCUGCAACGAGCGCAACCCUUGUUAUUAGUUGCUACCAUUAAGUUGAGCACUCUAAUGAGACUG